UGUGUCUCCGUCUUUAGUAAGCUUCAGAGAGAAGUGCUCUAGAGACAGUGGUAGCAACAAGGGCGUUAAGGAAGGCAAGUUUCUUCUUUCAUUUUAAAGUAGUAUCUAUUGACUGUACAAUGCAAUGGGCUGCCCUAUAUUUUCACACAUGCAUAUGCCGUAGUUGGCUUAUAUUCAUCCUCUCUGUGUCACUCUCCAGUCCUCAUCUGAAUACUCAGAAGAAGGGAUCUUUGUACAAGAUUGCAAGACUUUGACUCAGAAAUCUCUCUAAUUCCUUGGAGACACCUUCCUUCUGCUUGCCCUAGCCUCCUGGACAGAGAAGAUCUUCUAAUUGUCAACUACUGUGAAAAAUGCUGCGAAUACAGAAACAAAUUGCCUGCUAUUAAGGUGCCUCCAGAUAACCAAAAAGCCCUUCCCCUAAAAUGAGAUUGAUGACUUCUCUUUACGCCAUCCUAGAGCCCUCAUCCAGUGGCUGAUGGAAGCAGAGACAGACAUCCACAGAUAUACACUGAGCUGAAAUCAGGAAUUUAGUUGAAGAGAGGAAGGAAUGAAGAGUGAAGGGGUCUGUUCCAGGUUGGAGAAACCUACAGGAACAAUUGGCCUGAACAAGGGAGAGUACAUUGAGCCCAGAUGCUGUGUGGGAAGCCAGUACAAGACUGAUCCAGACCCCUAAACAUGGAUGUCAAUAAGGAGGCCUCUGCACUCCAGGGAGCCUCUGGAAGUGGAUUAGCAUUUUUCCCUGGUGCAAGAAGGGACUUUGAGAGCCCAUCCCACAUGAAGGGAUACACUCUGGCCCUAGACACAUGGGGAAGGGCCCAGGCCCAGUACAGGAAGAUUUGGUGGACUUUGCAGAGCCCCCAUUGAGGGCCCUACCCUGCCUGGGGAGUGGU
Molecule: long non-coding RNA, 890 nt
Filed under: Cricetulus griseus (Chinese hamster)
Lineage: Eukaryota; Metazoa; Chordata; Mammalia; Rodentia; Cricetidae
Description: lncRNA (ENSCGRG00015039971.1)
Source: RNAcentral